GAGUUUGAUCCUGGCUCAGGACGAACGCUGGCGGCGUGCUUAACACAUGCAAGUCGAGCGAUGAAGCUCCUUCGGGAGUGAAUUAGCGGCGGACGGGUGAGUAACACGUGGGUAACCUGCCUCAUAGAGGGGAAUAGCCUUUCGAAAGGAAGAUUAAUACCGCAUAAGAUUGUAGUACCGCAUGGUACAGCAAUUAAAGGAGUAAUCCGCUAUGAGAUGGACCCGCGUCGCAUUAGCUAGUUGGUGAGGUAACGGCUCACCAAGGCGACGAUGCGUAGCCGACCUGAGAGGGUGAUCGGCCACAUUGGGACUGAGACACGGCCCAGACUCCUACGGGAGGCAGCAGUGGGGAAUAUUGCACAAUGGGGGAAACCCUGAUGCAGCAACGCCGCGUGAGUGAUGACGGCCUUCGGGUUGUAAAACUCUGUCUUUGGGGACGAUAAUGACGGUACCCAAGGAGGAAGCCACGGCUAACUACGUGCCAGCAGCCGCGGUAAUACGUAGGUGGCAAGCGUUGUCCGGAUUUACU
RNAcentral lists this ribosomal RNA (529 nucleotides) under uncultured bacterium. RNAcentral's name for it is "bacterial SSU rRNA". It matches the Rfam family "Bacterial small subunit ribosomal RNA", at positions 9 to 555 of the family's 1533-position model. The record is from RNAcentral.